RNAcentral lists this ribosomal RNA (510 nucleotides) under Triticum aestivum (bread wheat). Its description in RNAcentral is "partial small subunit ribosomal RNA". The record is from RNAcentral. Lineage: Eukaryota; Viridiplantae; Streptophyta; Magnoliopsida; Poales; Poaceae.
AUGGCGGAGGAGCUUCUGUGGGAGCUCGGGAUGGAGUUGGUGGCAUGCGAGGCGGCAGCUGAAGCUGGGCACGACGACGAGGUUUUCAGGCUCGUCGGGUGCUCGGCGGCGCAAGAUAAGCGAGGCAGGCCGGAGUUGGGCCCAGGUGGGUCACGAAGACGGGCCAAGUGGGCGCUGCUCCUGUCGGCGCGCCAUGGCUCCUGUCCUGCAACGGUUCAGAGAGAGGGAGAGAAACGCGUGAAGGGAAGAAAAAAACAGAGGGAGGAAGGAGAAUUAAGGGGAGGCGGCGAGGGUCCUGGCAUGAUUGCAGCGGCGGAGCUUGCUGUCGUCGAUGGCUGCACAAGUGGCAGCGGCCAUGGGGAGGGGUGGAUCGAGGGGAGGAGGUUGACUGCGAGGGGAUCGAUGGAGGUAGGUGGCGGUGCUGGGUUGGCUCAGGAAGGAGUGAGGGGAUCUCGAGGCAGAUUUUUUGGAGCGGCGGCGGCAGGGAGGGACAAACCUCCUAUGUUUUAG